This 347-nucleotide ribosomal RNA is filed under the name uncultured bacterium. RNAcentral describes it as "bacterial SSU rRNA". It matches the Rfam family "Bacterial small subunit ribosomal RNA", at positions 1 to 334 of the family's 1533-position model. The record is from RNAcentral.
GACGUGACUUCAGAGUUUGAUCCUGGCUCAGGAUGAACGCUGGCGGCGUGCCUAAUACAUGCAAGUAGAACGCUGAAGCUUGGUGCUUGCACCGAGCGGAUGAGUUGCGAACGGGUGAGUAACGCGUAGGUAACCUGCCUGGUAGCGGGGGAUAACCAUUGGAAACGAUAGCUAAUACCGCAUAACAGUAGAUAUUGCAUGAUAUCUGCUUGAAAGGGGCAAUUGCUCCACUACCAGAUGGACCUGCGUUGUAUUAGCUAGUUGGUGAGGUAACGGCUCACCAAGGCGACGAUACAUAGCCGACCUGAGAGGGUGAUCGGCCACACUGGGACUGAGACACGGCCCAG